UUUUUGGCGAAGCGGAGGGACAUUGCUGGAACGCGCCCCAGGCGCACCCAGAAACCCUUUGUGAACUUAUACCUUACUGUUGCCUCGGCGCAUGCCGGCCCCCCUGGGGGCCCCUCCUUCUGGAGGAGCAGGCACGCCGGCGGCCAACCUAACUCUUGUUUUUACACUGAAACUCUGAGAAUAAAACAUAAAUGAAUCAAAACUUUCAACAACGGAUCUCUUGGUUCUGGCAUCGAUGAAGAACGCAGCGAAAUGCGAUAAGUAAUGUGAAUUGCAGAAUUCAGUGAAUCAUCGAAUCUUUGAACGCACAUUGCGCCCUCUGGUAUUCCGGAGGGCAUGCCUGUUCGAGCGUCAUUUCAACCCUCAAGCCUGGCUUGGUGAUGGGGCACUGCCUGUAAAAAGGCAGGCCCUGAAAUUCAGUGGCGAGCUCGCCAGGACCCCGAGCGCAGUAGUUAAACCCUCGCUUUGGAAGGCCCUGGCGGUGCCCUGCCGUUAAACCCCCAACUUCUGAAAAUUUGACCUCGGAUCAGGUAGGAAUACCCGCUGAACUUAAGCAUAUCAAAAGCCGGAGGAA
This 574-nucleotide ribosomal RNA is filed under the name Diaporthe vaccinii. RNAcentral's name for it is "eukaryotic LSU rRNA". The stretch from base 201 to 354 matches the Rfam family "5.8S ribosomal RNA". The record is from RNAcentral. Lineage: Eukaryota; Fungi; Ascomycota; Sordariomycetes; Diaporthales; Diaporthaceae.